This 489-nucleotide ribosomal RNA is filed under the name uncultured bacterium. RNAcentral describes it as "partial 16S ribosomal RNA". It matches the Rfam family "Bacterial small subunit ribosomal RNA", at positions 28 to 507 of the family's 1533-position model. The record is from RNAcentral.
GACGAACGCUGGCGGCGUGCUUAACACACGCAAGUCGAACGGUGAAGGGAUCAGCUUGCUGGUUCUGGAUGAGUGGCGAACGAGUGAGUAACACGUGAGUAACCUGCCCCCUUCUUCUGGAUAACCGCAUGAAAGUGUGGCUAAUACGGGAUAUUCUGCGCCUGCUGCAUGGUGGGUGUGGGAAAGAUAUUGUUUCGGUGGGGGAUGGGCUCGCGGCCUCUCAGCUUGUUGGUGGGGUGAUGGCCUACCAAGGCGGUGACGGGUAGCCGGCCUGAGAGGGGGGACGGUCACACUGGGACUGCGACACGGCCCAGACUCCUACGGGAGGCAGCAGUGGGGAAUAUUGCACAAUGGGCGCAAGCCUGAUGCAGCGACGCCGCGUGAGGGAUGGAGGCCUUCGGGUUGUGAACCUCUUUCGCUAGUGAAGCAGGCCUGUCCCUUGUGGGUGGGUUGACGGUAGCUGGAUAAGAAGCGCCGGCUAACUACGUG